This 522-nucleotide ribosomal RNA is filed under the name uncultured bacterium. RNAcentral describes it as "bacterial SSU rRNA". It matches the Rfam family "Bacterial small subunit ribosomal RNA", at positions 777 to 1297 of the family's 1533-position model. The record is from RNAcentral.
AAUAGAUACCCUGGUAGUCCACGCCGUAAACGUUGGGCGCUAGAUGUGGGGACCAUUCCACGGUUUCCGCGUCGUAGCUAACGCAUUAAGCGCCCCGCCUGGGGAGUACGGCCGCAAGGCUAAAACUCAAAGGAAUUGACGGGGGCCCGCACAAGCGGCGGAGCAUGCGGAUUAAUUCGAUGCAACGCGAAGAACCUUACCAAGGCUUGACAUAUGCGAGAACGCUCUAGAAAUAGAGAACUCUUUGGACACUCGUAUACAGGUGGUGCAUGGUUGUCGUCAGCUCGUGUCGUGAGAUGUUGGGUUAAGUCCCGCAACGAGCGCAACCCUCGUCGCAUGUUGCCAGCACGUAAUGGUGGGAACUCAUGUGAGACUGCCGGGGUCAACUCGGAGGAAGGUGGGGAUGACGUCAAAUCAUCAUGCCCCUUAUGUCUUGGGCUUCACGCAUGCUACAAUGGCCGGUACAAAGGGCUGCGAAACCGCAAGGUGGAGCGAAUCCCAAAAAGCCGGUCUCAGUUCGGA